AUUCUGGCGGAAUGAGCGGCGGACGGGUGAGUAACACGUGGGCAACCUGCCUGUAAGACUGGGAUAACUUCGGGAAACCGGAGCUAAUACCGGAUAGUAUUUCCUUUCUCCUGAUUGGAAAUGGAAAGACGGUUUCGGCUGUCACUUACAGAUGGGCCCGCGGUGCAUUAGCUAGUUGGUGGGGUAAUGGCCCACCAAGGCGACGAUGCAUAGCCGACCUGAGAGGGUGAUCGGCCACACUGGGACUGAGACACGGCCCAGACUCCUACGGGAGGCAGCAGUAGGGAAUCUUCCGCAAUGGACGAAAGUCUGACGGAGCAACGCCGCGUGAGCGAUGAAGGCCUUCGGGUCGUAAAGCUCUGUUGUUAGGGAAGAACAAGUACGAGAGUAACUGCUCGUACCUUGACGGUACCUAACCAGAAAGCCCCGGCUAACUACGUGCCAGCAGCCGCGGUAAUACGUAGGGGGCAAGCGUUGUCCGGAAUUAUUGGGCGUAAAGGGCUCGUAGGCGGUUUCUUAAGUCUGAUGUGAAAGCCCACAGCUCAACUGUGGAGGGUCAUUGGAAACUGGGGAACUUGAGUGCAGAAGAGGAGAGUGGAAUUCCACGUGUAGCGGUGAAAUGCGUAGAUAUGUGGAGGAAC
RNAcentral lists this ribosomal RNA (641 nucleotides) under Terribacillus sp. I13B-01790. Its description in RNAcentral is "bacterial SSU rRNA". It matches the Rfam family "Bacterial small subunit ribosomal RNA", at positions 80 to 707 of the family's 1533-position model. Lineage: Bacteria; Bacillati; Bacillota; Bacilli; Caryophanales; Bacillaceae. The record is from RNAcentral.